GAUGAAGAACGCAGCGAAAUGCGAUAAGUAAUGUGAAUUGCAGAAUUCAGUGAAUCAUCGAAUCUUUGAACGCACAUUGCGCCCCCUGGCAUUCCGGGGGGCAUGCCUGUUCGAGCGUCAUUACAACCCUCAAGCUCUGCUUGGUAUUGGGCUCUGCUGGGACCGGCAGGCCUUAAAAUCAGUGGCGGCGCCACUCGGCUUCAAGCGUAGUAAUUCUUCUCGCUUCGGAGACCCGGGUGCGUGCUAGCCAGCAACCCCCAACUUUCUUAGGUUGACCUCGGAUCAGGUAGGGAUACCCGCUGAACUUAAGCAUAUCAAUAAGCGGAGGA
Molecule: unclassified non-coding RNA, 329 nt
Filed under: soil metagenome
Description: partial contains 5.8S ribosomal RNA, internal transcribed spacer 2, and large subunit ribosomal RNA
Rfam family: 5.8S ribosomal RNA (bases 1-120)
Source: RNAcentral